RNAcentral lists this long non-coding RNA (6467 nucleotides) under Medicago truncatula (barrel medic). Its description in RNAcentral is "long non-coding RNA (MTRU_LNC008408)". Lineage: Eukaryota; Viridiplantae; Streptophyta; Magnoliopsida; Fabales; Fabaceae. The record is from RNAcentral.
GGCAUUUAAUCUGAUUUAAAUAAAUAAAAAUAAACUAAUAAAUCAAAAAAAGCUUUUAUUUAUUUUUUGUUUGCUUUAAAAUCAUUAAAAUAAAAAGGGGAAGAGAAAGCUUUGAAACCCAUUUUUAUUUCUCUCACUAACCCCAACAACCCUUUCCCUUCUCUCUAAAACAUCCGCUUGUCUUCAUCUUCUCCGACGAGACUUGGCCGGUCCGACGCGGUGGCUGGUGAGCCACCACGGUGGCACCGCCGCGCCGGAAAAGAAAUCCUCAUUUUCUUUUUAAUGCAAUUGCUCUACUUCUUCACCUCUUUCUAUUUUUAAAAACAAAUUUUCAAAGAAAACUCAUAUACAAUCUAGAUCUACAAAUCAAAAUACGAAACAACAAAAAAACUACCUCUUCUUUCUUCUUUCGUUUCAGUUUCGAAAAUAAGGUUAGAUUAUUGAUGUUGUUGUCGUUUUAUUUCGAAAAAGGAAGUGUUUGUGUUUGAUUCGAACUGGUACAGUGGUGGUUUGCAUUUUUGUGUUAUUUGAAAUGGAUAUUGAGGUUAUUGUGAUAUGAUGGUGGCUUUGUGAGUAUGUUUGUUGGUUGAUGGAAAUCAAAAAUGUGUGAUUGUUGUUGAGUUCUUGAAGGUUUGUAUCAGAGUUUGUGUUGGUGAUGUUAGAACAUGAUUCUGGAAAAAAAAAUACUUGUGGUUGGUGUUGUUAGAUUGAAAACUGUUGUUGUUCUUGAGGGAGAAAAAAUGGUUGAAACAACAUCAGUUUGGGUUCAAGAUGAUGAAGAAUCAUGAAUUUGGGUUUGAAUGGAAGAAGAAGAACAUGGAGGAGUAUGUAGAAGAUGAAGAAACACGAUGGAAAAGAACAAGAUGGAAAAUUGAAGAAGCACUUGAAAUGUUAUUUCCUUUUUUAUUCUUUCAAUUUUAUUUCCUUUUUUUUUCUUUCAAUUUUAUUUCCUUUUUUUUCUUUCAAUUUUUUUUAUUUUAAUUUUUGAAAUGUUUAAGUUGGUUUUUUAAAUUAAAAAAUGUUGUUUUAAUGACAUGUUAAUGUCAUUUUCCAAGUUGGCACUGCCACAUAGGUAUUUCUUUGCCAUAUCAGCGUUUUUGGAGGAUAAAUGGGGGAUAGGACGAAAACUGCAACAAAAAUGAUAACUGAAUGACCGUUUUGUUCUGUUUUAAAAGGGCAGGACCAGUUUCGUGAGUUGGCCAAAACACGAGGACCAAAAGUGUAAUUAAGCCUAAAAGAAAUAAAAACAUAAAUCUUCCUCCAUGAAAACACCACCAACCAACCUUUGUGUCUCUUUUUGACAUUAUUUGACUAUGUCACAUGCUUAGGACACGAAGAGUUUUCCAUUUGAUUGUAUUGACAACUAUGUUUAAUAAAACUAUGAUUCGUCCUUGAUAUAUAUUGUUAUACCCUUGGCCAAAAACAACAUAAUUAACAUAAAAUUUGUGGAAAAGAAAAACUAUGUUUAUAAUUAAUAAAACCACAUUUCGCAAAGGUAUACAAAAUCAUAAAAUUUGAUAAAUUAUCUUUUCUUGAAAACUAAUUGAUUUAAAUUAGUUUUUUAAUCGAUUAUGAUUGUUAAAUUUAGCAACUAUAUUAAAUCUUCGUCAAGUAAUAAAAUUUAUAAGUUCAUCUCCACGGAGAUUAUGAAAUUGCAAACUAACUACUACACUUUUUUUUGUUGAUAAAGCUAUAAAUGGAUUAAAAGAAACCAGAAGCUGACUGAAACUCUUACAACAAUUACUCCAUAGAAACCCUAGUAAAAGGUAAACCUAAAGAAUGCCUAACGAGAAAGGUUGAAAUAAAAUAUGGAGGGUACUCCCACCAUUGAGAGGAUCAAGGGGCAAGACCUUGACCAUUCCUGGCCAAAGUAUCAACCACCAUGUUCCCCUCUCUAAGUACAUGAGUGAAAAUAUAUCUAAUUUGCCUACAAAAGUGCAUACAAUUGUGCCAUCUUGUAUUCAUCCUCCAAGGAACACCUUCUUGCUUGCUGAAAGCUUUCACAACAUUAAGUGAAUCAGUUUCAAUCCAAAUAUCUCUAAGGUCCAGAUCAUCAACUUUUGCCAUGGCAAACAAGCACCAAAUUCAGCUUCUAAAGAAGAUUCAAUGCCAAUAUUUUGAGCCAAAGCUUCUAUAAAGAAAGAUGGAGAAGCUAUAAAGAUAACACCAUUGGAACCACAAAGAGGAUUGUCAAAGAGACAUCCUAGAUGGAGAGAUCUUUCUAGCCUUCAUAGGUAUGCCAAAGAGUCUAGAAACCUUGAAGUCUUGCAUGCUAGUAGAUCCCUUAACAAUAUCAAGUACAAAGAUGCUAUGAAAAAGAGUGAUCAUGGAAGAAUGCUUGUUGGAGAAGUAUCUUUUAUUUAUUUCAAUCUAGAUGCUCCAGAUGACAUGAACAAUAGAAGAAUUCAUCACAUAUCUGUCCAGUUUACUAGUAGUAGUAUUCACACUCAGCAGAAGAGAGGUUAUGGAAGAUAGAUAAAGCAGUUGAUCAGUCCCUUUCACCAGCCAUUCCCAUAACUAAUAGGUAACAGGGCACCUAAGAUAAAUGUGUUGAGAAGAUUCAUUUGUUUUAUAGUAGAAGCAACAUAUAGAAACAAUGGAGCAACCUGUUAGCCUGUAAUUACGACAUGCUAUAAUAAAUGCAGUCAAUGAAGUUUGACUCACUGUUUGAUCGAAUUUAUGGACUUUAAAGAGAUUUGUUGUUUUUAUGGUGAGGGCUCGACGAGCAAGCAAGAGUCGAAGAGAAGUUAGUGCCAGAUAAAGGAGCCAAGUAGCGGUUACUAUCGAAGGAUAUUAUUUGAAAUUCAAAUAUUUUUAUAAUAGUUAUUAGCAGUUAUGUUAGAACAUUUCUGUGUAGGUAGUUACUUAGUAUAAAUAGUAGUUUUUCAUAGGAAAAGCAUGUCACAAUUCAAUCAUACAGAAAACUUACAAUCAAACUAUCCGCAUUCAGAGAUAAACGAGUAACAAGUCACAAUGUAUGAAUCUCUGUACCAAUUUACAUUCGAUCAAUGCAAUUUACGUUUAUUUCUUUAAUUUCCAUUGCAAUUUACUUGUUCUUUUCAAGCAAUUUACUUUAUUCCUUUGAAUAUAACUUCAACGGGUUCAACCAUCGUUGGAUUCAACGGUUAUAUUCAUAUUCUGCAUUAUAUUAUCAAGAACAUUCAUCAUUUUUCUAGAAAAUAAUAAACACAAUAUGUCCCAAAGAUUUACUGGUUAAUCUUGCAAGUAACUAUUUUUAAACCAGCGGUUGUUUACCAAAAACUAGGGUAAACAAAUUGGCACGCCCAGUGGGACUGUUUGUGCUUUUUAUUUAAAUUGGCAGAGAUUUAUAUCAAGGAGAUUGUGAUGUUACAUGGUGUUCCUUCGAGCAUUGUAUCAGAUAGAGAUCCAAGAUUUACUUCUAGAUUUUGGAAAAGUUUGCAAGAGGCUUUGGGUUCGAAGUUGAGAUUGAGUUCGGCUUAUCAUCCACAGACAGAUGGUCAGUCGNGACCUAAUAGACCAGUGAAAGUUGAUGAUUCAAGUCAUUACAGGCUCCCUUAGAGCUCCAAUCAUUAUGAUAAACUGUUGUCUUAAUUUUCGGUUGUCCUUUGCUUAAUUUUUUAUAUUAAAUACAAGUUUUUGGGUGUGAUUCACUUUCAUGCAAUUGCUUUUAUUCAACUUUUUUUUUCCUUUCAAAUACCUCAACUUUUGAACUUUAAUCUUGUUUAUGGCAGCCUUGGUCCCAAUCCCAGAUAAAAGAAAAGGGUUGUGUUAACAUCUACAACAAAAUGAUGUGGUUGACAAAGUGGUGUUUUAAAAUGAUGUGGCACUUUAUUUCUUGUGUCUAUUUUUUUGGUAAAAUACUACUCAUAAAUCUCCAAGUGCUUCAACUACCCAGUAAAAUUACCAAUAACUCACUUUAUUCUAAAAAAAUACUUGGGUGACAUUGAUCAACCACAAUAUCACAAGUGUACAAAAAACAAAAAAAAAAACAUUGUGAAAUUGAAAGAAAAAAGCCACUUAUGAUAUUGUGGUUUCUACGGAUAAAAUACAAACUGCUUUUUUUUUUCUUUUUCUUAUCAUUUCUUUUUCAUAUUCUUUCUUUUUCUAAUUUUCUUUCUCUCUUUUCAUUAAAUAUAGGAACAUAAACCUACAUUCAUUAAACCACCAUAAAUUCACGUUUUUUACCAUGCUGUGCGCCUAUGUCACCAAAUCAAAAAUGCAUCAAGUCUCACACCGAAAGGAAAUAUGUUAAUGUCUCAAUUUUGACGUAAAGUUAAACAAUGGAUGCAAGAGUAGAUGUUGACAAAAAUAUAAGUGAGAUGAACAAUAUAAGAGUAGAUGUUUAAGUUUUAUAUUAAAUUUUAGGUUUUGGAUGUCGUUCGCUUUCAUGCAAUAUUGUUUCAUGGAUAAAAUCAUGUGUGAUUUGUUGAAUUAACAAAAUACAUGUUUAUUAGACACUUUUAAAUAUUGUGAUGUUUUUUUUUCUGAAUUAAGCCUAAAUUUUUGGUAAGUUAAUUAUCCUAAAGUCUCCAACUUCUUCAACAAUCUCAUAAAUUACCAGCAACUAUGUUUAUUCUCUAGUAUGAACACUUGUGUCAAGCACAUUAUAGUAUCAUUCUCAUUUGUGUGGUUGAUCUCUGUUCAGUGGCUAAAUCCACACCAAUUUUGACUCCCCCAAAAGGUUCGAUGAUGGUAUCAUAUCCCGAUUUGACGAUGAAGAAGUAGAAGAAGUUCCUAGUGGUAGAUCCCUGAAGUGGAUAGUCUCAUACUUGAGGAAUAGAAGUUAAUGUGUUAUAAGUCUGAGUUAAAGUUUCAUAUUGGAUGUAAAAAUAUAUGUUGAGUGACACAUAAGUGAUAUGACUCAUAUACCUAAUGCCUUAAGGUUUAGGAUGAAGAUAUGGUGUCAAACUCACUUAAGUGGAUUCUCUUACUCUAAUGUAAUGAUCAAAUUCAAUGUAUCAUCCCUCAAAAAUCUCAACAUUAUAAUGAACUGUAAUUUAUUUUUUAUUUUUGCAUGUCAUUUUUUUUAAAAUUUAGUUUUUUGAAGUCUUUCUCUUUCAUGUGAUUUUUUUUAUUCAACCUCCAUUAUUUCAAAUUCAUUCAAUUUUGAUCUUUGGUGGUAAAUGAGAAUCGAAAAUUGCAAACGUGUUAUGUUGAGUUGACAAAAUACAUGCUUAUUAGACAUUUAAAAUUAUGUGAGAUUUUUAUAAUUAAAUAUAAUUUUUUUUGUAAAAUAAUACCCGAAAAUCUCGUACUCCUUCAACUGACCUAUAAAAUUAUUGGCAACUCACAUUAUUUCUUAUACUCUUACAAAUAAAACACACAAUACUUAUAUUGUUUCCCUUAUCUUCUCUCAUGUUUAAAUUAUUUUUCCAUAUCUGUUUAUUUUCAUUUAAUUUCAAUUUUUUUCUCAUAAAAGAAAGGCUUAAUUACACUUUUGGUCCUCGUGUUUUGGCCAACUCACGAAACUGGUCCUGCCCUUUUAAAACAGAACAAAACGGUCCUUCAGUUAUCAUUUUUGUUGCAGUUUUCGUCCUACCCCCCAUUUUAUCCUCCAAAAACGCUGAUGUGUUGCAUUUUUUGAUUAGGUGUCCAAAAAAGCGCUUAGGUGGCAUUUCCAUGUGGCAUUUAAUCUGAUUUAAAUAAAUAAAAAUAAACUAAUAAAUCAAAAAAAGCUUUUAUUUAUUUUUUGUUUGCUUUAAAAUCAUUAAAAUAAAAAGGGGAAGAGAAAGCUUUGAAACCCAUUUUUAUUUCUCUCACUAACCCCAACAACCCUUUCCCUUCUCUCUAAAACAUCCGCUUGUCUUCAUCUUCUCCGACGAGACUUGGCCGGUCCGACGCGGUGGCUGGUGAGCCACCACGGUGGCACCGCCGCGCCGGAAAAGAAAUCCUCAUUUUCUUUUUAAUGCAAUUGCUCUACUUCUUCACCUCUUUCUAUUUUUAAAAACAAAUUUUCAAAGAAAACUCAUAUACAAUCUAGAUCUACAAAUCAAAAUACGAAACAACAAAAAAACUACCUCUUCUUUCUUCUUUCGUUUCAGUUUCGAAAAUAAGGUUAGAUUAUUGAUGUUGUUGUCGUUUUAUUUCGAAAAAGGAAGUGUUUGUGUUUGAUUCGAACUGGUACAGUGGUGGUUUGCAUUUUUGUGUUAUUUGAAAUGGAUAUUGAGGUUAUUGUGAUAUGAUGGUGGCUUUGUGAGUAUGUUUGUUGGUUGAUGGAAAUCAAAAAUGUGUGAUUGUUGUUGAGUUCUUGAAGGUUUGUAUCAGAGUUUGUGUUGGUGAUGUUAGAACAUGAUUCUGGAAAAAAAAAUACUUGUGGUUGGUGUUGUUAGAUUGAAAACUGUUGUUGUUCUUGAGGGAGAAAAAAUGGUUGAAACAACAUCAGUUUGGGUUCAAGAUGAUGAAGAAUCAUGAAUUUGGGUUUGAAUGGAAGAAGAAGAACAUGGAGGAGUAUGUAGAAGAUGAAGAAACACGAUGGAAAAGAANNN